CUGAGGGCCGUCUUUCAAGUCGGCUUUGUGUGUGUGCGUUGCGUGCCAGUGAUCGCUUCCUAGAGGGCCCCCUCCUAAAGAGCGUUCUUCUUGAACUCCACUCAGCAUCCACUUGAACUCCAUGUUGCUUCUCUCGCAUUCUACCCUCAUGUUAAUGGAAUUGGACAGGACCUCAGCUUUUACACUCUUAAAAACAAGUGCCAGCCGGGCUCGGUGGCUCAGCCUGUAAUCCC
Long non-coding RNA from Carlito syrichta (Philippine tarsier), 233 nucleotides. RefSeq lists it as uncharacterized. The record is from RefSeq and is a predicted model, not a curated record. Lineage: Eukaryota; Metazoa; Chordata; Mammalia; Primates; Tarsiidae. The transcript has 3 exons.